GGGCUUGUGGUCUAGUGGUAUGAUUCUUCCUUAGCAUUCGGUCCCCUGUUGUGGAUGACGAUGAAGCCCUGUGCUCCAUCACGAAGCUUGGAAGAGGUCCGGGGUUCAAUUCCCCGCGAGUCCA
This is a non-coding RNA of Biscogniauxia marginata, 124 nucleotides long. NCBI's taxonomy places the organism in Eukaryota, Fungi, Ascomycota, Sordariomycetes, Xylariales, Xylariaceae. The record is from the annotation of a GenBank genome assembly.